RNAcentral lists this ribosomal RNA (434 nucleotides) under Staphylococcus haemolyticus. RNAcentral's name for it is "bacterial SSU rRNA". It matches the Rfam family "Bacterial small subunit ribosomal RNA", at positions 104 to 525 of the family's 1533-position model. Lineage: Bacteria; Bacillati; Bacillota; Bacilli; Caryophanales; Staphylococcaceae. The record is from RNAcentral.
GGGUGAGUAACACGUGGGUAACCUACCUAUAAGACUGGGAUAACUUCGGGAAACCGGAGCUAAUACCGGAUAAUAUUUCGAACCGCAUGGUUCGAUAGUGAAAGAUGGUUUUGCUAUCACUUAUAGAUGGACCCGCGCCGUAUUAGCUAGUUGGUAAGGUAACGGCUUACCAAGGCGACGAUACGUAGCCGACCUGAGAGGGUGAUCGGCCACACUGGAACUGAGACACGGUCCAGACUCCUACGGGAGGCAGCAGUAGGGAAUCUUCCGCAAUGGGCGAAAGCCUGACGGAGCAACGCCGCGUGAGUGAUGAAGGUCUUCGGAUCGUAAAACUCUGUUAUUAGGGAAGAACAUACGUGUAAGUAACUGUGCACGUCUUGACGGUACCUAAUCAGAAAGCCACGGCUAACUACGUGCCAGCAGCCGCGUUAAUA